This 65-nucleotide transfer RNA is filed under the name Niptus hololeucus. Its description in RNAcentral is "tRNA-Ala". The record is from RNAcentral. Lineage: Eukaryota; Metazoa; Arthropoda; Insecta; Coleoptera; Ptinidae.
UGGAUAAUAGUUAAUUAUAACCUUUAAUUUGCAAUUAAAAAAUAUUGAAAAAUCAAUUUAUCUAA